Molecule: long non-coding RNA, 263 nt
Filed under: Elaeis guineensis (African oil palm)
Lineage: Eukaryota; Viridiplantae; Streptophyta; Magnoliopsida; Arecales; Arecaceae
Description: long non-coding RNA (EGUI_LNC019439)
Source: RNAcentral
UCUUCAAAAUAUAUAUAUAUAUAUAUCUCAAAUAAUGUAACUUAAUUUCGAGGACGAAAUUAUUUAAAGGAGAGAAAAAUGUGACACUUGGCCCUUUUGGGCCUUGGACCAAGCCCAUAUAAAAGCCCAAAACCCAUAUUAAAAAAAAACAAAAAAACAGAAAAUGGGAAGAAGAUGGAGUCUUCUUCUCCGAUAAAUUCCGGACGAAAAAGAGUCCUAGAACCACUGGAGCUCUGGGAUCCUCUAUAAACAAGCCUCCCCCC